RNAcentral lists this transfer RNA (77 nucleotides) under Parageobacillus thermoglucosidasius. RNAcentral's name for it is "tRNA-Pro". It matches the Rfam family "tRNA". From Rfam's summary of the family: Transfer RNA (tRNA) molecules are approximately 80 nucleotides in length. RNAcentral also lists the same sequence under 1 other name. Lineage: Bacteria; Bacillati; Bacillota; Bacilli; Caryophanales; Anoxybacillaceae. The record is from RNAcentral.
UCGGGAAGUAGCUCAGCUUGGUAGAGCACAUGGUUCGGGUCCAUGAGGUCGCAGGUUCAAAUCCUGUCUUCCCGAUC